This 537-nucleotide ribosomal RNA is filed under the name Fusarium oxysporum f. sp. ciceris. RNAcentral's name for it is "eukaryotic LSU rRNA". The stretch from base 167 to 320 matches the Rfam family "5.8S ribosomal RNA". Lineage: Eukaryota; Fungi; Ascomycota; Sordariomycetes; Hypocreales; Nectriaceae. The record is from RNAcentral.
CCUGCGGAGGGAUCAUUACCGAGUUUACAACUCCCAAACCCCUGUGAACAUACCACUUGUUGCCUCGGCGGAUCAGCCCGCUCCCGGUAAAACGGGACGGCCCGCCAGAGGACCCCUAAACUCUGUUUCUAUAUGUAACUUCUGAGUAAAACCAUAAAUAAAUCAAAACUUUCAACAACGGAUCUCUUGGUUCUGGCAUCGAUGAAGAACGCAGCAAAAUGCGAUAAGUAAUGUGAAUUGCAGAAUUCAGUGAAUCAUCGAAUCUUUGAACGCACAUUGCGCCCGCCAGUAUUCUGGCGGGCAUGCCUGUUCGAGCGUCAUUUCAACCCUCAAGCACAGCUUGGUGUUGGGACUCGCGUUAAUUCGCGUUCCUCAAAUUGAUUGGCGGUCACGUCGAGCUUCCAUAGCGUAGUAGUAAAACCCUCGUUACUGGUAAUCGUCGCGGCCACGCCGUUAAACCCCAACUUCUGAAUGUUGACCUCGGAUCAGGUAGGAAUACCCGCUGAACUUAAGCAUAUCAAAAGCGGGAAGGAAGAG